CCCUUAGAUGUUCUGGGCCGCACGCGCGCUACACUGAUGCAUUCAACGAGUCUAAAACCUGCUCUGAUAGGGGUGGGUAAUCUUUUGAAUGUGCAUCGUGAUUGGGAUAGAUGAUUGCAAUUUUUCAUCUUCAACGAGGAAUGCCUAGUAAACGCAAGUCAUCAGCUUGCAUUGAUUACGUCCCUGCCCUUUGUACACACCGCCCGUAGCUCCUACCGAUUGAAUGAUCCGAUGAAUAUCAUGGAUUGAGGAUUAUAGCAGGUUCGCCUGUCUUGAUCUUCGAGAAGUGAAGUAAAUCUUAUCAUUUAGAGGAAGGAGAAGUCGUAACA
Molecule: ribosomal RNA, 329 nt
Filed under: uncultured eukaryote
Lineage: Eukaryota
Description: partial 18S ribosomal RNA
Rfam family: Eukaryotic small subunit ribosomal RNA
Source: RNAcentral